Molecule: ribosomal RNA, 465 nt
Filed under: Vreelandella stevensii
Lineage: Bacteria; Pseudomonadati; Pseudomonadota; Gammaproteobacteria; Oceanospirillales; Halomonadaceae
Description: partial 16S ribosomal RNA
Rfam family: Bacterial small subunit ribosomal RNA
Source: RNAcentral
CCUACGGGAGGCAGCAGUGGGGAAUAUUGGACAAUGGGGGCAACCCUGAUCCAGCCAUGCCGCGUGUGUGAAGAAGGCCCUCGGGUUGUAAAGCACUUUCAGUGAGGAAGAACGCCUGGUGGUUAAUACCCAUCAGGAAAGACAUCACUCACAGAAGAAGCACCGGCUAACUCCGUGCCAGCAGCCGCGGUAAUACGGAGGGUGCGAGCGUUAAUCGGAAUUACUGGGCGUAAAGCGCGCGUAGGUGGCUUGAUAAGCCGGUUGUGAAAGCCCCGGGCUCAACCUGGGAACGGCAUCCGGAACUGUCAAGCUAGAGCGCAGGAGAGGAAGGUAGAAUUCCCGGUGUAGCGGUGAAAUGCGUAGAGAUCGGGAGGAAUACCAGUGGCGAAGGCGGCCUUCUGGACUGACACUGACACUGAGGUGCGAAAGCGUGGGUAGCAAACAGGAUUAGAUACCCUAGUAGUC